AACAGACCAACCCUUGAAGGCUUCUGCACCUAUCAGGAUAUUCUAGUCCAACAUCGAGGUCACAAACCUUUUUUUCGAUGGGAACUCUCAAAAAAGAUUAUGCUGUUAUCCCUACGGUAACUAAUUCUUUUAAUCGUAAUAAAUACGGAUCUAGAUUUAGAUAUUUUUAUAAAUAAAAGAAGCUUUAAUUGUUCCUUAGUCGCCCCAACCAAAAUUUUUUAUGAAAAGAAAUGUAUAGUACUUUCUUUAUAUCAUAAAUGACUUUUAAGCUCGAUAGGGUCUUCUUGUCUUUUAAUUUUAUCUAAGUUUCUUCACUUAGAAAAUAAAUUCCAGGGAUUUCUGUAGAGACAGGGUCGCCCUUGUCAAACCUUUCAUACUAGCCCUCAAUUAUAGGGCAAAUGAUUAUGCUACCUUUGCACGGUCAGAGUACCGCGGGCGUUAAAUACUA
Molecule: ribosomal RNA, 448 nt
Filed under: Littorina compressa
Lineage: Eukaryota; Metazoa; Mollusca; Gastropoda; Littorinimorpha; Littorinidae
Description: partial 16S ribosomal RNA
Source: RNAcentral